UACGGAAGGCAGCAGUGGGGAAUAUUGCACAAUGGGCGCAAGCCUGAUGCAGCCAUGCCGCGUGUAUGAAGAAGGCCUUCGGGUUGUAAAGUACUUUCAGCGGGGAGGAAGGCGAUGCGGUUAAUAACCGCGUCGAUUGACGUUACCCGCAGAAGAAGCACCGGCUAACUCCGUGCCAGCAGCCGCGGUAAUACGGAGGGUGCAAGCGUUAAUCGGAAUUACUGGGCGUAAAGCGCACGCAGGCGGUCUGUUAAGUCAGAUGUGAAAUCCCCGGGCUUAACCUGGGAACUGCAUUUUGAAACUGGCAGGCUUGAGUCUUGUAGAGGGGGUAGAAUUCCAGGUGUAGCGGUGAAAUGCGUAGAGAUCUGGAGGAAUACCGGGUGGCGAAGGCGGCCCCUGGGACAAAGACUGACGCUCAGGGUGCGAAAGCGUGGGGAGCAAACGAGGAUUAGGAUACC
This 458-nucleotide ribosomal RNA is filed under the name uncultured bacterium. RNAcentral's name for it is "bacterial SSU rRNA". It matches the Rfam family "Bacterial small subunit ribosomal RNA", at positions 340 to 786 of the family's 1533-position model. The record is from RNAcentral.